UACAGAGGUCUCAAGCGUUGUUCGGAAUCACUGGGCGUAAAGGGUGUGUAGGCUGCGUGGAAAGUCGGAUGUGAAAUCCGGGGGCUCAACCUCCGAAUUGCAUUCGAUACUGCCGCGCUCGAGUUCUCAAGAGGGGUCUGGAAUUCUCGGUGUAGCAGUGAAAUGCGUAGAUAUCGAGAGGAACACUAGUGGCGAAGGCGAGACCCUGGGGAGAUACUGACGCUGAGGCACGAAGGCUAGGGUAGCAAACGGG
RNAcentral lists this ribosomal RNA (253 nucleotides) under uncultured bacterium. RNAcentral describes it as "partial 16S ribosomal RNA". It matches the Rfam family "Bacterial small subunit ribosomal RNA", at positions 524 to 776 of the family's 1533-position model. The record is from RNAcentral.